This 368-nucleotide ribosomal RNA is filed under the name uncultured organism. Its description in RNAcentral is "bacterial SSU rRNA". It matches the Rfam family "Bacterial small subunit ribosomal RNA", at positions 526 to 896 of the family's 1533-position model. The record is from RNAcentral.
CGUAGGUGGCAAGCGUUGUCCGGAUUUAUUGGGUUUAAAGGGUGCGUAGGCGGUCUUGUAAGUCAGUGGUGAAAUACGGCAGCUUAACUGUCGAGGUGCCAUUGAUACUGCAGGACUUGAGUACAGACGAGGUAGGCGGAAUUGACGGUGUAGCGGUGAAAUGCUUAGAUAUCGUCAAGAACACCGAUAGCGAAGGCAGCUUACUAGACUGUAACUGACGCUGAUGCACGAAAGUGUGGGGAUCAAACAGGAUUAGAUACCCAGGUAGUCCACACUGUAAACGAUGAUUACUCGAUGUUGGCGAUACACAGCCAGCGUCUUAGCGAAAGCGAUAAGUAAUCCACCUGGGGAGUACGCCGGCAACGGUG